GCAAGGGUGGUUCAGUGGGAGAAAUCCCACCUUCAACUUCGGAGACCUGAGUUCUAUUCCCAGCCAGUGCA
RNAcentral lists this transfer RNA (71 nucleotides) under Loxodonta africana (African savanna elephant). It matches the Rfam family "tRNA". Rfam says of the family: Transfer RNA (tRNA) molecules are approximately 80 nucleotides in length. Their secondary structure includes four short double-helical elements and three loops (D, anti-codon, and T loops). The record is from Rfam by way of RNAcentral. Lineage: Eukaryota; Metazoa; Chordata; Mammalia; Proboscidea; Elephantidae.